CGGCCCGCGUCUGAUUAGCUAGUUGGGGAGGUAAAGGCUCACCAAGGCGACGAUCAGUAGCUGGUCUGAGAGGAUGAUCAGCCACAUUGGGACUGAGACACGGCCCAAACUCCUACGGGAGGCAGCAGUGGGGAAUCUUGCGCAAUGGGCGAAAGCCUGACGCAGCCAUGCCGCGUGAAUGAUGAAGGUCUUAGGAUUGUAAAAUUCUUUCACCGGGGACGAUAAUGACGGUACCCGGAGAAGAAGCCCCGGCUAACUUCGUGCCAGCAGCCGCGGUAAUACGAAGGGGGCUAGCGUUGCUCGGAAUUACUGGGCGUAAAGGGAGCGUAGGCGGACAUUUAAGUCAGGGGUGAAAUCCCGGGGCUCAACCUCGGAAUUGCCUUUGAUACUGGGUGUCUUGAGUAUGAGAGAGGUGUGUGGAACUCCGAGUGUAGAGGUGAAAUUCGUAGA
This 450-nucleotide ribosomal RNA is filed under the name uncultured Alphaproteobacteria bacterium. Its description in RNAcentral is "bacterial SSU rRNA". It matches the Rfam family "Bacterial small subunit ribosomal RNA", at positions 227 to 694 of the family's 1533-position model. Lineage: Bacteria; Pseudomonadati; Pseudomonadota; Alphaproteobacteria. The record is from RNAcentral.